RNAcentral lists this ribosomal RNA (396 nucleotides) under uncultured bacterium. Its description in RNAcentral is "bacterial SSU rRNA". It matches the Rfam family "Bacterial small subunit ribosomal RNA", at positions 28 to 416 of the family's 1533-position model. The record is from RNAcentral.
GACGAACGCUGACGGUGUGCUUUAGACAUGCAAGUCGAACGCGAAAGCCCUUCGGGUUAGUAGAGUGGCGAACGGGUGAGUAACACGUGGGCAAUCUGCCCCUCGCAGGGGGACGAACCGGAGGAAACUCCGGCUAAUACCCCGUACGCUUGCUGGACCGCAUGGUCCGGCAAGGAAAGGUAGCUUCGGCCAUCCGGCGAGGGAUGAGCCCGCGGUGCAUUAGCUAGUUGGUGAGGUAACGGCUCACCAAGGCAACGAUGCAUAGCUGGUCUGAGAGGAUGAUCAGCCACACUGGGGACUGAGACACGGCCCAGACUCCUACGGGAGGCAGCAGUCGGGAAUCUUGCGCAAUGGGCGAAAGCCUGACGCAGCAACACCGUGUGAGCGACGAAGGCC